RNAcentral lists this ribosomal RNA (664 nucleotides) under uncultured organism. RNAcentral's name for it is "bacterial SSU rRNA". It matches the Rfam family "Bacterial small subunit ribosomal RNA", at positions 1 to 663 of the family's 1533-position model. The record is from RNAcentral.
GGCUUAGAGUUUGAUCAUGGCUCAGGAUGAACGCUGGCGGCGUGCUUAACACAUGCAAGUCGAACGGAGUACUCAUGACGGAGUUUUCGGACAACGGAUUGAGUUACUUAGUGGCGGACGGGUGAGUAACGCGUGAGCAACCUGCCUUGGAGUGGGGAAUAACACAACGAAAGCUGUGCUAAUACCGCAUAAUGCAGCUGGGCCGCAUGGCUCUGGCUGCCAAAGAUUUAUCGCUCUGAGAUGGACUCGCGUCUGAUUAGCUAGUUGGCGGGGCAACGGCCCACCAAGGCGACGAUCAGUAGCCGGACUGAGAGGUUGGCCGGCCACAUUGGGACUGAGACACGGCCCAGACUCCUACGGGAGGCAGCAGUGGGGAAUAUUGGGCAAUGGGCGCAAGCCUGACCCAGCAACGCCGCGUGAAGGAAGAAGGCUUUCGGGUUGUAAACUUCUUUUCUCAGGGACGAAGCAAGUGACGGUACCUGAGGAAUAAGCCACGGCUAACUACGUGCCAGCAGCCGCGGUAAUACGUAGGUGGCAAGCGUUAUCCGGAUUUACUGGGUGUAAAGGGCGUGUAGGCGGGAUUGCAAGUCAGAUGUGAAAACCAUGGGCUCAACUCAUGGCCUGCAUUUGAAACUGUAGUUCUUGAGUACUGGAGAGGCAGACG